GUUAGUGGUUGGAGUAGGGUUAGGGGUAGGGAUAGGGUUAGGGGUUGGGGUAGGGUUAGUGGUUGGGGUAGGUUUAGGGUAGCGUACCCCUCACCCUACCCCUAACCUAACCCUAUGCUAACCCUACCUCUAGACCUACCCCUACUCCUAAACUAACCCUACCCCUUACCCUUUUUCUAACCCUACCUCUAACCCUACCCCUAACCCUUAACCAACCCUAACCCUACUCUACCCCUAACCUAACCUUACCUCUAAC
Non-coding RNA from Pelobates cultripes (western spadefoot toad), 256 nucleotides. The record is from the annotation of a GenBank genome assembly. NCBI's taxonomy places the organism in Eukaryota, Metazoa, Chordata, Amphibia, Anura, Pelobatidae.